UGGGGAAUUUUGGACUAUGGGCGCAAGCCUUAUCCAGCCAUUCCGCGUGCAGGACGAAGGCCUUCGGGUUGUAAACUGCUUUUGUACGGAACGAAAAGCCCUUCUCUAAUACAGGGGGUUGAUGACGGUACCGUAAGAAUAAGCACCGGCUAACUACGUGCCAGCAGCCGCGGUAAUACGUAGGGUGCAAGCGUUAAUCGGAAUUACUGGGCGUAAAGCGUGCGCAGGCGGUGAUGUAAGACAGUUGUGAAAUCCCCGGGCUCAACCUGGGAACUGCAUCUGUGACUGCAUGGCUGGAGUGCGGCGGGGGGGGAUGAAAUUCCGCGUGUAGCAGUGAAAUGCGUAGAUAUGCGGAGGAACACCGAUGGCGAAGGCAAUCCCCUGAGCCUGCACUGACGCUCAGGCACGAAAGCGUGGGGAGCAAACA
RNAcentral lists this ribosomal RNA (427 nucleotides) under uncultured bacterium. RNAcentral's name for it is "bacterial SSU rRNA". It matches the Rfam family "Bacterial small subunit ribosomal RNA", at positions 355 to 774 of the family's 1533-position model. The record is from RNAcentral.